This 468-nucleotide ribosomal RNA is filed under the name uncultured bacterium. RNAcentral describes it as "partial 16S ribosomal RNA". It matches the Rfam family "Bacterial small subunit ribosomal RNA", at positions 28 to 507 of the family's 1533-position model. The record is from RNAcentral.
GACGAACGCUGGCGGCGUGCUUAACACAUGCAAGUCGAACGGAAAGGCCCUGCUUUUGUGGGGUGCUCGAGUGGCGAACGGGUGAGUAACACGUGAGUAACCUGCCCUUGACUUUGGGAUAACUUCAGGAAACUGGGGCUAAUACCGGAUAGGAGCUCCUGCUGCAUGGUGGGGGAUGGAAAGUUUCGGCGGUUGGGGCUGGACUCGCGGCUUAUCAGCUUGUUGGUGGGGUAGGGGUUUCCCAAGGCUUUGACGGGUAGCCGGCCUGGGAGGGUGACCGGCGUCAUUGGGACUGAGGGACGGCCCAGUCGCGAACGGGAGGCAGUAGGGGGAAACAUUGCAGAACGGGCGGACGCCUGUUGCGGAAGCCCUCGGUGCGGGAUACCGGCCUUCGGGUGGAAAACCGAUUUGGCCUUAGACGAGCCGGUAUUGACGGUACCUGGUAAAAAAGCACCGGCUAACUACGUG